UCCCAGUUAGUACAAUGGUUAGUAUAGGGCACUCUCAAGUUACCGUUGUAGUAAGCGGUUGAUCUGCACUGCUCAGAUCAGGGUUCGAUUCCCUGGCCGGGAA
Molecule: transfer RNA, 103 nt
Filed under: Sporisorium scitamineum
Lineage: Eukaryota; Fungi; Basidiomycota; Ustilaginomycetes; Ustilaginales; Ustilaginaceae
Description: transfer RNA-Glu(CTC)
Rfam family: tRNA
About the family: Transfer RNA (tRNA) molecules are approximately 80 nucleotides in length. Their secondary structure includes four short double-helical elements and three loops (D, anti-codon, and T loops).
Source: RNAcentral